Long non-coding RNA from Varroa destructor (honeybee mite), 2008 nucleotides. Lineage: Eukaryota; Metazoa; Arthropoda; Arachnida; Mesostigmata; Varroidae. The record is from RefSeq and is a predicted model, not a curated record.
ACAUGAGCCGAGAGGCGUCCUCGCCAGUGUAGAAUAAGAUACUAUUUAAAUACGAUGAGCAGCAAAAAUAUAGGUGCUGAAUAUUGUAAACGAGAAAAUGAGGCUCGAAUCAUUCAAGAGAUAAAAGCUAUACGAUAGCUUGCGCGAUUCGUACGAAUCUAACAUUGAAAAAUCCUACAGCAGAAAUCUUCAGUUCAAUCAGCAAUGAUCUGUCGUUUGCUGCUCAUUUUGUUCGUAAUGAACUGCAGUACCGUUUUCUGUGCGUUGUACGACGAGCGCCACGUUUGUGGUUUUCCAAUUGGAAGAUUCGUAGAAUGGUUUGAUGAGUGCACCGCUGUAUGCAGAACAUGGACGGAUUUGGACCGCCAAUGGUUUGACCACCGCGUUACGGCUGUUGGCAAGCCCUGCGGACUCAACAAGGCGGGCAGGUGCCAAGAUCGUUUGACAGAUUACGUGGACUAUUUUGAAAUGGGUGGAAGAUGUGCGCUUGCUUAACGAAGGACACAUCACGUAACUACGUUUCCCGUUUGCGUUAUUUCCGCGCAGUUUUGGAACAUACUCAUAUACACAAUGACUCGUCACUUUAUUGUGGCGUUUAUUUUUAUCUGUGUCGUUCUGGGUGGCCCACAGUUGCGCAUGGACGAGGAUUACGUUUGUAACCCGCCACACGGCAUCUUCAUUGAAUGGGAAGAUUCAUGCACUGCAGUCUGUCAAAAAUGGUUUGAUAGAAUUGGGCUUUGGCUAUAUACAAGGGAAGUAGCUGUAGGAAAAGCAUGUGGUCCUCGAAAUCGCGGUAGAUGUCGAAGGGUUACUCGGUUUGAGGAAGAGCUUGCUUUCGGACGACCAGGAGAGUGUUUUGAAAAAUAGCGCGAUUACAAUAUGAAUACACGUAACUCCUAAAAAUGGGCCUUGCUACUCUACUGUUGCUACAAUUCCAUUAGCAUCAAUACCUAUAUCAGGCCAAUAUGGUUAGCUAAAAAAGAUGUUUGUUUCUCAGUUUUUCGCAUGUUAUCGAUUAGCAAACGUUUGAAGAACACAAUUAUUUAUGAUAUGAAAUUUAUAUGAAAAUCACUUGAUUCUCUGUUACUUUGUUAGAAAAUACCUGUCCCUAAAUCAAAUCAAAUAUAAUUCAUGUGGCGCAUAUAGUUGAUAUUCGGGAUGCGAAACAUCGACGAACGGUGUAACUAGAACAUGUCCUGCAGUAGCCUAAUGUCAAGUCAGGACGGACGUCCUGGAUAGAAUCGAAAUUUGUAAUGUUUUCUUUAAGAAAACUGUUUAAACAAGAGCAGAAGUAUCUCUAUAGAUUUCCUUGCAUUUACUUAAUACUUCCUGACACUGAAUUUCCAUUGAAUUUAGUUUCAUCGUUCACCUGGACUCGAGCUUUGACUAAGGACCUACUACUAGGACCUACUAAGGAACUACUCACUAGUUAUUAUCAAAAUAUUCCUUCUCUUUCAACGGUAGCAAAUAGUCUCCGUAGAAAUUUAAAUAUAUUCGGACUGAUAGAGAGCCAAACGUUCUAAAAGUACGAGAAGUCAAAAUGGCCAAAAAGUCUACAAAUGCAGAAAGCGGAAAAUUUGUGGCCGUUGGAGAUUGUACGGAGAAGCCAAUUGCUAAUGGGUAUUCGUCUUUUAAGAACAGUCGCUAUAUUCUCUGAGAAAAUAAGUUUUUAAGCACUUUCUGGUCGUUAAACCGAAUCUGUAUUCAUUAAACAUAUCAUGUGAUGUCCCAUAAAAAUCUUCUCGGGAUUUAUCUCGCGUGAAGAAAUUGGUGGUCUUCGCGCAAAUUGCGGAAACAACGACGUGUCUUACGCCAUAAUCAGUUUGCAGCGGUGGCCUUGACAGAAUUGGCCUCCCUUAAUUUCAGGCGCAACAGAUGAACGAACGACGAGUACGGCGAACCUAUUGUAAUUUAGACGGCAUAUCCUGUACGCAUAUCGUUUAGCCCUGUUGAUACGCGUCAUUCACGAACGUGGCUAAACAAUAUCCCAGUCACAUUCUUUAUACUG